Camponotus floridanus (Florida carpenter ant) is the source of this 726-nucleotide RNA transcript. It is a transcript of the gene named tetratricopeptide repeat protein 8-like, with no coding region annotated. The record is from RefSeq and is a predicted model, not a curated record. The transcript has 3 exons. NCBI's taxonomy places the organism in Eukaryota, Metazoa, Arthropoda, Insecta, Hymenoptera, Formicidae.
AUGCGACGUAUAAGACUCGAAGCAUAAGAGUAACACUGUGUAAUCGGAUCAAUGUGGCGAAGCUAAUGUUUGCUCCGACAUUUACAAUAUAUUGAAUAUGGAGUUGUUUCAAGCUUUAAGCUUAUUCAAUCGGCAGAAAUACGAGGCGUGCGUUACGAUAUGCACCGAUUUGUUGAGAAAAAAUCCACUGGAUCAGGCUGUGUGGGUCUUGAAAAUGCGUGCCUUAAUAUUGCAAGUCUAAGUAGAUGACAUUGAAGGCGAGGAGGAGGGAAUUGCGGAAACUCUGUUAGACAAUUAUGCGAUAUCAAUGAUGCCACGGCCAGGAACUUCAUUGAAAAAUCCCGGUACCAGUUACACCGGUCAAGGAGUACGACCUAAAUCUCAAUCCGAUAGACCUGUUACCGGGGUAAUGCGACCCGCCACUCAGGCAGCGAUGUCCCAAUCGAUUGAACAAGCAUUGAAAACACCGAGGACAGCAAUGACUGCCAGGCCGAUUACAGCGAGCUCAGGACGUAGUGUUAGAUGGAUAUAUACAAUGCAUUCAUGCAUAUGUAUUAAAUAUUAAGAGAAAAUUGAAUCUUGAAAUUGUGAAUCUUCGUCUUUUAAGACUUGGUACUGCAUCGAUGCUGACGAAGCCGGAUGGGCCCUUUAUCCAGUUAUCGCGCUUGAAUAUAACUAAAUAUGCUAAUUAACAAAGCAUAGCGAAACCGAUUUAAUCAAUGUAAU